This 932-nucleotide unclassified non-coding RNA is filed under the name Hevea brasiliensis (rubber tree). Lineage: Eukaryota; Viridiplantae; Streptophyta; Magnoliopsida; Malpighiales; Euphorbiaceae. The record is from RNAcentral.
GAGAGUGCUCUGGAAGGAGUUUUGUAAGACGAGAGCUCCAAAAAUGAUGCUUGAUUUACAGUCCAGUGGGAGUCACAGUGUUGAUGGGAACUGGAGGGCUCUUGGAAAGCUUCUUAUUUACUGUUCUGGAUGUACUAAAGGUGGCUUAUUCAACAGCAUCCAUGUUCCAGGACACUUUGUUUACAGGACUAGGUUCUCUAGGACCUCUGGGAAGAGCUUUCUGUUACCACAAUGCAGGACGGAUGUAUUGUAUGUUUCUGAUCCUUGCGAGCAUCUUGACCAAGGAGAAGAGGGGGAUAUUGGAUUUUUUCGGGGAAUAUUUAAAUCCUUUGCUACCUCCAAAGUUCGUAAAAUGUUAAUUAAGAGGGAGGCUCAGCUCCAUCCAACAGAAGUGUGCCCUUACUGUAAGGCAAAACUGUGGAGCAUGCUGCAAGCAAAAAUGGUACCAGAAAGUGCCAGCUGUAGAUUGGGUGCUUAUGAAGAUGCAAUUGAGUAUUAUGUGUGCCUUAAUGGGCAUGUGCUUGGGAUAUGUACCCUCUUGCCCUUGUCUGAUUCUGAGGAAGCUUCAGAUCACAGUGAUGCAUGAAUGCAGAGGGGAAAAAGAUGAUAAAAGUCGUUGGAUUGUUCUAUAACGGACAAGCAAGAAAUAGUUCAUUAAGUGGAAGAUCUCUUUUGGUGGACCGGACCAUGGACAUGGAACUGUAUUUAUGCAAGCUUGCCACUUUCCAAACUUAUCUGACCCGAUAGUAGUUCACUGCAAACCUUUGACAUAUCGUUGUUAUCUCAGUUGUAACAAACACAAGAAUUUGUUUGUAUAUUUUAUGGCCUCAAAUGUGCAUCUAAUCUAAGUGACAUGUUAGAAUCUGCAACAUUUCGAGAGUUGUUUGUUGUGAGAAGCAGUUAAGAGUUACCCCAUGUAAAGUUUGAAAAAA